This 4537-nucleotide long non-coding RNA is filed under the name Ananas comosus (pineapple). Its description in RNAcentral is "long non-coding RNA (ACOM_LNC002928)". The record is from RNAcentral. Lineage: Eukaryota; Viridiplantae; Streptophyta; Magnoliopsida; Poales; Bromeliaceae.
GAAAAUAAGCCCUCAUUCCCCCUUUGUUCCCAAACGUGAUAUUUGGUAUUCAGGAACAGCAGUUCCGGAAAUUUCAAGAACAAUAGUUCCAGAGUUUCAAGAACCCUUUUUCUAAAAUAAGCUUGUUCCUUAAUGAGAACAAAAUUAAUUAAAAUCUAAAUUUAAUUUUAAUUAACCAGUAAAUUAUUAAUUAAUCUAAUUAAUAUAUUUAAAUUAAUAUUUAUUAUUUUAAUAAUUUAUUAAUUUAUUAAUUUAUUAUUUAUAAUUAAUUAAUAAUAAUUAGAUAAUUAUUAUAAUUAAUUUAUUAUUAUUUAUAAUUAUUUAUUAAUAAUUAAUAAUAUUUAUUGUUAUUUAUUAAUAAUUAUUAAUAAUUAUUAUCCUUAAUAAUUAGAUAAUCGAAAGUAUUAUUAAUUUAUUAUUUAUAAUUAAUUAUUAAUAAUUAGGUAAUUAUUAUUAUUAAUUUAUUACUAGUAAUUAAUUAUUAAUAAUUAUUAUUUACUAAUAAAUAUUAAUUAUUAUUAUUAUUUAUUAAUAAAUAUUAAUAAUUAUUAUUAUUAAUAAUUAGAUAAUCGAUAUUAUUAUUAAUAAAAAUUAGAUAAUCGAUAUUAUUAUUAAUUUAUUAUUAAUAAUUAAUUAAUAAUAAUAAUUAAUAAUUAUUAUUAUUUUAUUAAUAAUUAUCAAUUAUUAUUAUUAUUAAUUAGAUAUUCAAUAUUAUUAAUUUAUUAUUUAUUAAUUAAUUAUUAAUAAUUAUUAAUACUUAUUAUUAUUUAUAAUUAAUUUAUUAAUAAUUAAUUUAUUAUUUAUUUUUAAGUAAUAUUUUGAUGUUAAUUAAUUACAUAAUAUAAUUUUAAUUUUAAAUUAUAACUCUUAUUCCUCUUAUUACAAUUUAACCAUCCAAAUACUAUUUACCUUAUUACUAGAAACAACCCAAUUUUCAUCUAAACGCAAAAUUGGUCUAGUUCCUGCUUAUAUCUGAACUUGUACCUAUCCCUGAAACUAGCAGUUCUUACUUAUACCCGAACCAAACGCAGCCGAAAUUCGAGUUUGGUUCGGAAACGAGAGGAAUAAAUUCUUGUUCCCUCUUUAUUUCCGCAUGUAAUUUUUAGCAUUGAAAAAUAAUAGUUCUCAUAUUUCUAAAAUAAAUUGGUAUAAUUCGGUAUAAAUUUGAAAUUGUUGUUCCAUCCUUUUUUCUAAAACAAACAUAUUUCCAAAUGAAAAUAAGAUCAAUUAAAAUUAAAUUUUAAUUUUAAUUAUAAUAUUAAAUUAUUAUUUAAUCUAAUUAAUAUAUUUAAAUCAUUAUCCAAUUGCUUUAAAUAAUAAAACAAUUAAUUAAUUUAUUAUUUCUAAAUAAUUAGCUAAUUAAUUAUUAAUAAUUUAAUAUGUAAAUUAAUAUUUAUAUUGAUCAGCCAUUAAUUUUUUUAUUAUCUAAUUAAUUUUUUUACGAGUUAUCAAAUUAAUAUAAUUUACUAACUAAUUAAAAAGUUAAAUUAUUUUUAUAUUAAAUUAAUUAAUUAAUAUAUUUUUAUUAUUUUAUACAAUAUUCAUACUUUCAUUCGUUAGUUUAUUCAAUUAUUCCAAUCUAACCAUCNUUUCGAACCAAACGGAAGCUAAAGAAUAAAAAUUAAUAAUAAUAGCAAACUAGGCUUAAGCAAUUAAUUUUUAUAAUUCAAAAUAUAACUAUAUUGUACGGACACGAGGGUAGGGGGCAGAGUUAUUAUUAUGCGGACGGUGCGAUGGACGGGGAAAUGGGAACCGGAUUGUAUGGGGACUUUUUUUUUUUUUUAUUGAGAUAGUAUGGGGUCAAGCGUGGUGGAGACCAUAGUUAGUUAGUGGAGAGUCUGGAGACUUCGAGUGGGUGGGGCCCGAGGUUGCCCUGUUAAAUUGAUAAUUAAUUACAGAUUGGUCCUUAAAUUUCUCAGAAAUUUUAAUUCAGAUCUUUUUUAUUAUAAUCAUAUUACAAAUAUUUAUUAUGAAUUUCAAUGGAAUCACUUUUGACAAAAAGUUAUUAUCACUUGGCAAAAUCUGGCGCUUCCGCGGCAUUAAUUUGAUAAAUUUGAUAAAUAUUGGUUAAUGCUAACGGAGUAGUUUGGCUAAAUUACAAAAAAUUUUCUGUCAAUACCAGCUUUUUUAUUUUUUUGUCAUUUAAAAAUCUACAAUUUACUCUGUUAUAAAAUUAAAAUAUUUAUAUAAGAAUAUACUGUGACAAAAUAAUUAAAUUGUCCUCAACUUCUUCGGGUUGGGUGUGGACAGAGGGUGGACGAGGGCGAGAGUGGGGCGACGGAGGUGAGCGAGGACGUGUGUGUGGACAUGGACAGAGAGGUGGGUGAGGGCCAGGCGGCGAAGGGCGAGGUGGUGCGAUCGAGAUCGGUGAGGAAGGAUGAGGAUUUUAAGGAUAUUUUGGGUAUAAAAAAUGUGAUAUAAACAGAAUCCAAACGGUACUCUAACUGAACACUUACGGCGGGUCAAAGUGAACAUUUUUUAUUUUAUAAAGAAAUAAAAUGUAGGUUGAGAAGUUUCUGUAAUUUAGCCUAGUAGUUUUUGUUAAAAUAAAUAUUUUUGAAUACUAAAAAUUAUGAAUAUGAUCUGAAAAAGUUGGCAAUGGAAAAUAAAAUGAUAAUAAAGUUGUGGUACAAAAACUCUUAAAUUUUAAAAAACACCAAGUCUAUAUUUAAAAAAGCUUAUAAUUUUUGCAAAAUCUUGUCGGAUCUUUGGCACUAACCACAACUCAAUUAAAACGUAACACCUUCCACGUAUCUCAAUUGUGAUUUGGUUCAACCAGCCUCACGUUACUUCGAAUAUAACUCGACCCAAUAUAGCCUCCUGCCACACAUCAAAAUGCUAGGGCGCAAAUUCACAGCAUGCGAAAAUUAAAUCCGUGAUCUCUAAUUCUAAUACUACUUAUAAAAUUAUUUGUGCUAAUUAUUAACCCCAAAAGCUCAAACUAUUAGAAAUAUACGACCAACUUAGUUAAAGCGUACAGAUACAACAUCCGUGAGUCUCUAUUAUGACUUGGUUUAAACAAUCUCACAUUAUUUCGAAUAUGACUCAGCCCAUUCUAGCCCACGCCAUUUUGAACGUAACUUUGCUAACCUGACUUUCCGCGCACAGGUCAGAAUGCUGGCUCCUUUCAAACGACACACCUUAUCUAAAAAAUUAUAGAAUUUACUAACCUAUUUUAAAUUUUAGAUAAAAAGAAUAAUACCACAAGUAAAAUAUAGAAGGCUUUUAGCAAACUACAUUAGAUAGUGUCAGUUUAUUUUUAACUAUUUGAGAGUUUUUUUGAAUGAUCGUUACGUGAUUUGAAUAGUAUAUAUAUAUUUUUCGAGAGAUAGAUAGCACACUAUUCGCUUCAUUUAUUUCAUUUAGAAAUAAAUUUAGCUAGAAAUAUAAAUCAACUAGGAUUCGAAUUUGGACCUCGGGUACCAAUCAUCAAAUUUUUUGUCACUUCUCUAGGGUCGGUGUGAUUUGAAUAGUGUUACUAGCGUAAGUAUGGGAUCAAUCAAUUAGAUAAAAUUGUAUUUUACCGCAUAAUUUUUAAUAUACAUUUGUAUGCAUAAAUCAGUGUCGGUGCUAUUACUUGUUUGCUGCAGUGCUGAGCUGGACGCUUCUAGCGGUGUUCCGAAUAGUCAACAGCUGUUGACUUUUAUUAUGUGAUUCUGGAGAUUAGAUCUAUCAAUUUUUUAUUAAAGCAUUGUUCCGUUCCGUAGCGUUUGGUUCGAAAACAAGGGCGGAAUAAGCCCUCAUUUCCUCGUUGUUUCCAAGCAUGAUGUUUGAUAUUUGGGAACAGUAGUUCUAAAGUUUCAAAAAUAAGCCGGUAGAAAGUUGGAACUGUUGUUCCACUUUUUUCUUAAAACAAACUUGUUCCUUAAUGAGAACAAAAUUAAUUAAAAUCUAAUUUUAAUUUUAAUGAUAGUAAAAUAUUAAUUAAUCUAAUUAAUAUAUUUAAAUUAAUAUUUAUUACUUUAAUAAUUUAUUUAUUUAUUUAUUUAUUAUUUAUAAUUAAUUAAUAAUAAUUAGUUAAUUAUUAUAAUUAAUUUAUUAUUAUUUAUUAAUAAUUAUUAAUAAUUAUUAUCCUUAAUAAUUAGAUAAUCGAUAGUAUUAUUAAUUUAUUAUUUAUAAUUAAUUAUUAAUAAUUAGAUAAUUAUUAUUAAUUAAUUUAUUACUUAUAAUUAAUUAUUAAUAUUAUUAUUUAAUUAUUAAUUAAUAAUAAAAUAAAAUAAUUAUUCUUAUUAAUUAGAUAAUCGAUAUUAUUAGUAAUUUAUUAUUAAUAAUUAAUAAUUAAAUAAUAAUUAUUAUUUAUUAAUAAUGAUUUAUAAUUAAUUAUUAAUAAUUAGAUAAUUAUUUUUAAUUAAUUUAUUACUUAUAAAUAAUUAUUAAUAGUUAUUAAUAAUUAAUUAAUUAAGUAAUAAUUAUUAAUAAUUUAUUAAUAAUUAAUUAAUUUAUUACUUAUAAAUAAUUAUAAAUAAUUAAUAAUAAUUAAUUAUUAAUAAUAAUUAAUAAUUAUUAUUAUUUAUAAUUAUUUAUUAAUAAUUUAUUU